This 271-nucleotide long non-coding RNA is filed under the name Homo sapiens (human). RNAcentral describes it as "non-protein coding lnc-RPRML-1:5". The record is from RNAcentral. Lineage: Eukaryota; Metazoa; Chordata; Mammalia; Primates; Hominidae.
AUCAUCUGCUGUUCUCUGCCGCAGAGAGGACUGGAGGUUCUUGCUUGGCUUCACUUUAAACCAUUUAAUCGGGGGUCUGGAGAUUUCGCUCUUCACUGUUUUUCCUGGCGCAAGCUUUUCCUGUUUCGCAUUUGUCUACUCACUCUCCCGCCUAUCUACCCCCCAUUCCUAUUUAUCCAUCCAGUAAACCUACAUUGAAUGAGUGGUUAUUAUGUGUCAUGUGUAAAGUAGGGAAAACCGGGUUCCUCCUGCCCUCAAAGAGGUUCUGGUC